Molecule: ribosomal RNA, 253 nt
Filed under: uncultured bacterium
Lineage: Bacteria
Description: partial 16S ribosomal RNA
Rfam family: Bacterial small subunit ribosomal RNA
Source: RNAcentral
UACGAGGGGGGCAAGCGUUGUUCGGAAUUAUUGGGCGUAAAGGGUGCGUAGGCGGUCUGAUAAGUCAUCUGUGAAAUCUAUGGGCUCAACCCAUAGUCUGCAGGCGAAACUGUCGGGCUUGAGUAUGGGAGAGGUGAGUGGAAUUUCCGGUGUAGCGGUGAAAUGCGUAGAUAUCGGAAGGAACACCUGUGGCGAAAGCGGCUCACUGGACCAUUACUGGCGCUGAUGCACGAAAGCUAGGGGAGCAAACAGG